Molecule: signal recognition particle RNA, 267 nt
Filed under: Butyricicoccus sp. AM28-25
Lineage: Bacteria; Bacillati; Bacillota; Clostridia; Eubacteriales; Butyricicoccaceae
Description: signal recognition particle sRNA large type
Rfam family: Bacterial large signal recognition particle RNA
About the family: The signal recognition particle (SRP) is a universally conserved ribonucleoprotein involved in the co-translational targeting of proteins to membranes. Archaeal SRP consists of a 7S RNA and homologues of the eukaryotic SRP19 and SRP54 proteins. In most bacteria, the SRP consists of a 4.5S RNA and the Ffh protein (a homologue of the eukaryotic SRP54 protein).
Source: RNAcentral
CCGCACAAGUCGGGGCGUUAGCGGUGCCUUGAACUCGCAAUCCGCUUCAGCGGGGACUAUGCGGGUAACAAGGAGCACACAUGCGGCGAGGCAGCCACUCACAGGGCGAUGAGGAACCGGUACUGCGCAACGGAGGACUGUGAACCAUGUCAGGCGGGGAACCGAGCAGCAUUAAGCAGAAACCAUCGUGUGCCGCAGAUCUGCCGAUUCUGAGUCCGAAAUGCGGAAAGGCAGCCGGGUGUGUGUAUUCGAAUUACCUGUGUGCGG